RNAcentral lists this unclassified non-coding RNA (173 nucleotides) under uncultured fungus. RNAcentral's name for it is "sequence contains ITS1". The record is from RNAcentral. Lineage: Eukaryota; Fungi.
GUAAAAUUCAGGGCACACUCAGACGUUCACUAAAUUCAGAGUUUAGGGCCUCUGGCAGACGCCUAGGCGCACCGCACACAGCAGAUGCCGCCUGCCAAGGCAACUAGGGUAGGUUCACAGUGGGUUUAGAGUUCAACUCUGUAAUGAUCCCUCCGCUGGUUCACCAACGGAGA